AAUGAAUUGUUGCCGAAUUUCAUUUUGAAAACGGGGGAACCACUUUUGGGUGAAUUAUUCUUGAAAGCAAAGGAAUAUAGGGAACCUUUAACCGAACCCUCAGCUAACUCCGUAGGCAUUGAAGGGAGCAAAG
RNAcentral lists this small RNA (133 nucleotides) under Paenibacillus riograndensis. RNAcentral's name for it is "c-di-AMP sequence". It matches the Rfam family "c-di-AMP riboswitch aptamer (ydaO/yuaA leader)". Rfam says of the family: This family represents a conserved RNA structure found upstream of the ydaO and yuaA genes in Bacillus subtilis and related genes in other bacteria. The ydaO/yuaA element is thought to act as a genetic "off" switch for the ydaO and yuaA genes in its native state. It is believed that the element may be triggered during osmotic shock leading to activation of ydaO, a predicted amino acid transporter gene, and members of the yuaA-yubG operon which code for KtrA and KtrB K+ transporters. Lineage: Bacteria; Bacillati; Bacillota; Bacilli; Caryophanales; Paenibacillaceae. The record is from RNAcentral.